RNAcentral lists this long non-coding RNA (578 nucleotides) under Homo sapiens (human). RNAcentral describes it as "HSALNT0035255". Lineage: Eukaryota; Metazoa; Chordata; Mammalia; Primates; Hominidae. The record is from RNAcentral.
GUAAAUGUAAGAAUGUAUCAGUAUCUAAUUACCUUUCCAAAUUAAUUUUUAUUUUUAGCUCUAUUAGAUUUUUCUCAGUGUAACAAAUGUUUAUUCCUAUGUAAUUAAGGGCGUAUUUCCUGUACAGAAUAUUCAUAUUACCUAAUUGAAAAUUAUAUGAUACAAAAAUAUAAUACUAUUUUUAGGCCAGGCAUGGUGGCUCAUACCUGUAAUCCCAACAUUUUGAGAGGCCAAGUUUGGAGAAUCAUUUGAGUCCAGGAGUUGACCAGCCUGGGCAACAUAGUGAGACCUUGUCCUUAUUAAACAAAUAAAUAAAUAGGUUGGGCACUGUGGCUCAUAUCUGUCAUCCCAGCAUUUUGGGUUGCCAGUGCAGGAGGAUUGCUUGAGCCCAGGAAUUUGAGACCAGCCUGGGCAGAAUAGCAAGACUCCAUCUCUACAAAUAAUAAAAUAUUAACCAGGUGUGGUGGUGCGCACCUGGGGUCCCAGCUACCUGGGAGGCUAAUGUGGGAGGUUUUCUCGAGGCUGCAGUGAACUGUGAAUGCACCACUGCAUUCCAGCCUAGGCCACAGAACAGGACC